UAUGGAGAGUUUGAUCCUGGCUCAGAGUGAACGCUGGCGGCGUGCCUAAUACAUGCAAGUCGAACGAUGAAGCUUCUAGCUUGCUAGAAUGCUGAUUAGUGGCGCACGGGUGAGUAACGCAUAGGUUAUGUGCCUCUUAGUUUGGGAUAGCCAUUGGAAACGAUGAUUAAUACCAGAUACUCCCUACGGGGGAAAGAUUUAUCGCUAAGAGAUCAGCCUAUGUCCUAUCAGCUUGUUGGUAAGGUAAUGGCUUACCAAGGCUAUGACGGGUAUCCGGCCUGAGAGGGUGAACGGACACACUGGAACUGAGACACGGUCCAGACUCCUACGGGAGGCAGCAGUAGGGAAUAUUGCUCAAUGGGGGAAACCCUGAAGCAGCAACGCCGCGUGGAGGAUGAAGGUUUUAGGAUUGUAAACUCCUUUUGUUAGAGAAGAUAAUGACGGUAUCUAACGAAUAAGCACCGGCUAACUCCGUGCCAGCAGCCGCGGUAAUACGGAGGGUGCAAGCGUUACUCGGAAUCACUGGGCGUAAAGAGCGCGUAGGCGGGAUAGUCAGUCAGGUGUGAAAUCCUAUGGCUUAACCAUAGAACUGCAUUUGAAACUACUAUUCUAGAGUGUGGGAGAGGUAGGUGGAAUUCUUGGUGUAGGGGUAAAAUCCGUAGAGAUCAAGAGGAAUACUCAUUGCGAAGGCGACCUGCUGGAACAUUACUGACGCUGAUUGCGCGAAAGCGUGGGGAGCAAACAGGAUUAGAUACCCUGGUAGUCCACGCCCUAAACGAUGGAUGCUAGUUGUUGGAGGGCUUAGUCUCUCCAGUAAUGCAGCUAACGCAUUAAGCAUCCCGCCUGGGGAGUACGGUCGCAAGAUUAAAACUCAAAGGAAUAGACGGGGACCCGCACAAGCGGUGGAGCAUGUGGUUUAAUUCGAGGAUACACGAAGAACCUUACCUAGGCUUGACAUUGAGAGAAUCCGCUAGAAAUAGUGGAGUGUCUGGCUUGCCAGACCUUGAAAACAGGUGCUGCACGGCUGUCGUCAGCUCGUGUCGUGAGAUGUUGGGUUAAGUCCCGCAACGAGCGCAACCCCCUUUCUUAGUUGCUAACAGGUUAUGCUGAGAACUCUAAGGAUACUGCCUCCGUAAGGAGGAGGAAGGUGGGGACGACGUCAAGUCAUCAUGGCCCUUACGCCUAGGGCUACACACGUGCUACAAUGGGGUGCACAAAGAGAAGCAAUACUGUGAAGUGGAGCCAAUCUUCAAAACACCUCUCAGUUCGGAUUGUAGGCUGCAACUCGCCUGCAUGAAGCUGGAAUCGCUAGUAAUCGCAAAUCAGCCAUGUUGCGGUGAAUACGUUCCCGGGUCUUGUACUCACCGCCCGUCACACCAUGGGAGUUGUGUUUGCCUUAAGUCAGGAUGCUAAAUUGGCUACUGCCCACGGCACACACAGCGACUGGGGUGAAGUCGUAACAAGGUAACCGUAGGUGAACCUGCGGUUGGAUCACCUCCUU
This 1501-nucleotide ribosomal RNA is filed under the name Helicobacter pylori. RNAcentral's name for it is "bacterial SSU rRNA". It matches the Rfam family "Bacterial small subunit ribosomal RNA". The record is from RNAcentral. Lineage: Bacteria; Pseudomonadati; Campylobacterota; Epsilonproteobacteria; Campylobacterales; Helicobacteraceae.